Molecule: long non-coding RNA, 454 nt
Filed under: Brassica rapa (field mustard)
Lineage: Eukaryota; Viridiplantae; Streptophyta; Magnoliopsida; Brassicales; Brassicaceae
Description: long non-coding RNA (BRAP_LNC005124)
Source: RNAcentral
AAGCAUCGGUGAAGGGAAUGGCUUCGCCGGAAGCUGUUAAAAAGCUUCUUCUUUCACGUCGUGUUCCACAAUUCAUCCCUCUCACGCUGUGACAUUAAUAAAAAAAAAAACAAGAUUUACGUUUUUGUUGUAGAAACAAAAUCAUUUGGAGCUUGAAAUUAUGUCUUAUAUGAUAUUUUUACAUGUUUAAAUGUAUUAUAAGCAAGAAAAAAAAAAGGAUGAUUAAGGUGAGAAUAAUGGCUGGCGGCUAUAGAGGGAAAUUGCAGAAAACCCUAAUUGAUUUUGGAAAGAUGAAGUUAAAAUUACGAAAAUACCCUUCAUUAAAAAAAUAUGAAAAAUAAAUGAUUCAUAUGUACAUGAUAUAUUGUACAUACAUAUACACUAUCCACAUGUACAACGAUUCAUGUGUACAUGAAACUAGACAUCCCUUAAAUAAAAAUUACUAAAAUGCCAC